CAGUGGCUGUGCUGACGCUGAGGCGCCACGUGGGGCCAGUAGCUGUUUGCGCUGUUGUGGUUCAGGCAGACCUGUUUUGUGUGGAUGUUUUGUUUGUACCAGCAUCUUGUCGCACAACUGAAGGUCUUUGGCGAAUAAUUUCCACCUGUUCUCUCCAUCAAACUAUGUUAGUUGGAUUUAAUGGGAACAUCUGUUUGCUGCUGUUUCCUGUCAGGGUGGAUUCAACACCACAGUCCCCUCUGAGCGCUGCUGCUCCUCACUGUCUCACUCUAAUACGUAUGCAUGAGAGUGUGUGACCUGCAUGUAUCCACAGACCUACACAUGCCCUUUAGGUGUUAAUGUUAUCCAGUUUGUUCAGGAAAUCACUAAUGGAGAUUGAUGGCACAAAGAGAAUCAAUGAGCUUCAACCCUGAGAGUGUUUGAGGAAGUCGGUUGUUUCAGUUCACGCUGCAGCUCUAUUCUUAGUGAGGUGCGUAACAUGACUGAACGGUCGUCUUAAGUCUGGUCUUCACGAAAUUUCCCCACGAAAAGGUUUUCUUAUUCUUAUCAAAGUCUUCAUGUGUUCAUUAAGUCAGCCUGGAUCUAAAGGUUCAGUCUGUGCCUCCACGGUUUCCAUCAAAGGCUCCUACAGUGUUUGCACAAGGCGUCCUGUGUGUUGAGUAAGAAGGAAGUGCAGCAUGUACGCACUAAGUUCACAGCCUGCUGGGAUCUGUGCUGCCCCUGAAUGUGGAGGAGAAAACAGGCCCAUCUGCUUCCUGUGUUGUGGGGUUAGUGACUGUUUGGUUUCUGAUUGAAGCCCUAGUUAUGGGAUGAUGUGAUCUGAUUUUAAUUCAAGCUGUUUUGACUUACAGUUUGUAGCCUCUAAUGUAACGUUGGGGGAGGCAACAUCAUGACUUAUCUCCAGGAUAUAAAGGCAGACCAGUGAGCUCCGCAGACAUCAGGAACGGCUGAUACUCUGAGAUCCGCUUCCACGUAGAUCGAUGUCACACGUGUGCCAGCUUUACAUGUGCGAGCGCUGCACGCAGCUGAUAAACAACUUCUUCCUCAUUCUCAGAAAAGGAAGUGGGAGGGUGGGGGUGCCGAGAGCCGCCCACAUGCUGACCCCAUAUGCACCGGAGCCAUGCACAGCUCACUUAUGUCAUCUUUGGUGAGGCCUUUCCUUAAGCAUGUGCUUGAUGUGAUGCAAAUAUCAACGAACUGCAGACACAAAGACCGACAGGGAGUGUAAAGCCGUACACGUGGGCGAUCGAGCGUCUCAUGUGUCGGCUCAUGCCACUGCUGAGCAUCAGUGCUGUUUCUAAUGUGGCACUCGUCAGGUUCUCCUUAGGUCUGCUCCAAUCUGCUGCAGCCACGUCAAAAAGCCCAGGCUCUGCUUGAAGUUGAAACGAGUCUGGCUCAGGUUGUUUGUAUUUGCUGAUGACUGUUUCAGGGCUGGAAGAUUCAUGUCUGUUGAGACUGCGGUUCCCUGGAUAGAAGCAUAAGGAGUCCACAGCCUGGAAGCCUGGUUCCCUGUCCACACAGCAGGCUGAGCUGGGCUGCAAACAUGCAGCUGUGUUUCCUAUGGACUUCCUCCGUCAGCCGGUGCCUGCGCUCUUGUGCUGUUUCAGACGGCCUCCUCCGCUGUGAGUCAUCCUGACGUGCACGGCUUCACGCCUCGGCCGUGCACAUGGCUCCCGAACGACACACUCCCUGCCUUCACGUGCUCCCUCGCUCCUUUUAGCCUUUGCCUUUUUGGUUUUGGAACCCGCCCAUUUCCUCAGUGCUGCCUGUUGCUUUGCAGACAAUGGCAGCCAUUCUUACUCUGGUUUGUCGGUAACCCACUUUUGGAAAACGACCUGUGAACAAGCGAGGGAGCAGCGUUUUGCUGCUUUCACAUUCCACAUGACUCACCUGCCCCGAGUCUGUCCUGUUUGUACGUAUACGUCUCUUGCCUCGAUGCAAACAUGUCUCGACUGCUCAUGCUAUAAAUAAAGUGCAGGCGUUGCAUAAGAGCCACAGGUCUCUGUGGGUUACAUGUGGCAGAUCAGAGGCACGAUCAGCAGCUCGUCUUCUGCAGUAACGAGUCAGAUUCAGUUUGGUGGUGGCCGCAGCUGAAGGUCACACAACACAACAGGGCUGUGUGUGUGUGUGUGUGUUAAACUGUCAACAAACUGUAAGUCCCAGCUGCUUUACGUAACCGGCCUCUGGUGAAGGUGUUACUGUAACACGUUGAGCUGUGGCUGCAUGUGAGCAGCCGCUCACAUGGGACCUGCCGCUCACCCUCCUCCCUCCAGGUGUUUGGAUUAGAGCAGGGAGGGGGGGCUGUAAACUGACUCCUCCGCUGUCACUGUGUACACUCACAGUCCAACUGUGCCUUUUUACUUCCUUCUCAGACCUCUGUGCCAGAACCUUGGUUGACCUGGACUCGGGACCGGGCUCCUGCCUGAAGGAGCAGCGGGUUCCACGGCGGCUCAGCCCGUGUCGGUGCUGGUUGCUGUGAUGUGACUUUGUGCUAAUGAACAGGCAGAAGUCUCUGUAUAAAGAGUUGAAUGGUUGGUUCUGAUGGAUAAUGUUGUCAUUGUGGUGUAAUGGAAACAUGUGGAAACCAAAACCAUCAACUGCCUCCUCUCUGAUUGUGUGUUGAAGCCUGUGAGCGAUAAUGCGUCAGAAACACGUUAGUGGAUCCACGGCUGCUCUUCAUUCCUUUUAGCUUUAAAGGAAACACAUAGUCUGGCAGAGUGAGGCGUUCAGGAGCCGAUGUCACACUUCCUGGCGUGACUUCAAAUAUGUGAGUCUCUUAACUAAGUAAUUAAUAAAUAAUUAAAUGAUAAGUAGAUGAUUCUAUUGUUAGUUGUUUUUUUUAUUUCGGUUCCUCUUCAUGUGCCACUCGUCACAUGCUUUCGUUUUUGUAGAAUCUUUCAUCUCUGUUUGAUUUGGUUCAGUAAAAGGAAACUAAUUGAAGAUGAGGCUUAAUGACACUGAGCAUCCUGUUGGCAGCUUGGACCAGUACUGUGACACCUCCUGCGUAUUUGUUUGUCAGAAGUCAUCACAUGGCUGAAGUGUUGUUUGUGUGGGUGCCGGCCCCUUCUCGCUUUACCAACAAACAGGAAGUGCUUCUUCUGCCCAUCAGCUGCGCUCAUUCUGUGAGAAGGUUUCAGGUGUAACCUUACAUGGCUGCGCCCACUGUCAGUUUAUUACAGUAGGUAGAACCAGCGCUGCUGGGAACAGAAGCCCGUGCUGCUCUGCUUCCAGCCACUGGACCCAGGACGACUGGAGACAGAUGGAUGGACCUGUUGACACUAAUCCUGCUGCAUGAGAAACCUGUCGGGUCAGAACGGAGAACAGGCUGGAAAGGAAAACAAAGCACGUGUCGGAGCGCGUCGCUCAGCUCAACAGUUCCUGUUCCUCUGUCUGUGAAGUCUUCAUCACAUACACAACCAGCAUCUUCUACUGGCUUUGUGUCACCUUCAUGCUCAGUCACUCACUGCGGCGUGCAGGACGAGUGUCAGACGAUCAGCGAUCAGCACAGAGCAUGAGGCUGGUACCAUCAGAAGGCCCGGCUCUGAUCCGGCUCCGGAUCCUGAGCCUGAGCCCACAUUCCUGUCAACCACCACCUUUGUCUCCAGCUCCUUAGAAGGCGUCGCUGUGUCACGGCCCAGAGUUAGCGCUGGGGAAGCCCACGGAUGCGGUUCCUCCAGAGUGGAGACACGUGACCAGCAGAAAGAGAGGACGGGGUCUCAGACACAGCCUUGUUGGGAGGAAGCUGGGAUUGGGCUCGGCCCCCACGGCCGCCUGCUCAUCCAGCCCUCAGCUGUUCCUGUGCCGCGGGUUCACUCCAGGCUGCGCUGGGUGGAAGGAAGAGGGAGGAGCUGCCCUACAUUCUGCCCUCUGCUUCUCUGCGCAGGCUGCAGCGCCAUGUGGAUUUCCACAAAGGGCUGAUUGACUCAGGCCUAUUUUUGGUUCAAAUUUCUGCAAGGCAUCAGGAAAGUGUAAGAUUACACCAGAUGUUAUCUGGGAGAAGUCUGAGCCUGUAACGCUGUCAACACAGUCAAGUCUGUAAUGCAGCAUUAGAAAGCUUCCACAUGGUAAAGGCCUCAACCUGUUUCCCAUUUUUAUUAUUAUUUAAUAAUAUUAUUAUGUGGUUGGUGGUGCUGUUGAUAAUAUUGUUCCAUAAGCACCAAACAGUCGCUGCCGGUUUUAAACCUAAACAACUGAGUGACCUGCUCCAAAGCCGUGUUGAUGUUUCAAACGCGUGAGUUGAUUUAAACGUGUACGUCUGAUGCAUAACAGGUUUUUCACACCCAGACAGAUCGGACCUCCACAACCUGAUCCGGGUCGCUGCAGGUCGUCCAGUAUUGUGUAACACCUGCAUCCCAGUGUGGAUGACUUAACAUGAGCCCCGCUGCCGCAGCGGCGUGUGUCUCGGGUCACGUGUUACAUGUUGGUGAGCGUGUUUACGCUCGCUAGCCUGCGUCUGGGCUCCUGUCUUCCCAGUAAAGCUUCAGUGUGUGUGGUGAAGCCUACAUAGCUAUCAGGUCAAUAUUUUCAGUAGAUAAGAUUAGAGCUGUGUGCUCCUUCCUGCUCCUAUGUUUCUAUCGUAGUGCAAAUACAAACACGUGAGUUGUAUCAGAACAAGGACACUGAGAAACUGAAUCCCUUGGAAUAAAAAUGAUUGGUCAUGUGUCA
Betta splendens (Siamese fighting fish) is the source of this 4665-nucleotide long non-coding RNA. RefSeq lists it as uncharacterized. The record is from RefSeq and is a predicted model, not a curated record. The transcript has 2 exons. NCBI's taxonomy places the organism in Eukaryota, Metazoa, Chordata, Actinopteri, Anabantiformes, Osphronemidae.